GUCUGACAAACUUAUUCCUCAACAUCCUUUGUAGCUUAGUAGUCCCAAGUUUUGUCUCCAAAAUUCCUAUUACAUCAAUAUUAUAAAUGUUGAACCCCGUUUUGCUUGAGAGGACGUUCAAUCCCCUAAUUUUCUAAAAGCCAGUCUUCAUGAUGUUGAAGCAAGGAAAAUUCCCUUCUUCUUGUCUUUUAUGACCACCCAUCUUUCUUUGCUCCUCAAACUUUCCCUAAGUUUAUCAUUGGUCAUUUCCCUCAAAGUUAUUCCAUGCGACUUUGUGGAACAAUUUUCCCCUGAGCUAUCCACAUGAGUAUUCACCUUAGUCGAUACAAAGAUUGGUAUAAUUCGUCCCACUUGCUUCUUUUGCUAUGACCCCUUCCUUUUACUGACUACCUUGGUGAAUGGGACCUCAUCCUGGUCCGUUAUGUGCUGUAGAAGAUCAUUUUUCAGUCCCGCCAUAACAGCUGAAUCGAGAUAUCCCUAAUAGCCUGUGUACCCACGUCUGCCUGAGGCAAACUGUCAGCUGGAAAUUGUCUAGCUGAAUCUGCCUGAUCAAAGCUGUCCCCCACAACCUGUUCAACCUGAAUCAAACCAUUCCCAGCACCAGUUCAGUCAUGUGUACGUUAGCUAACAAGUUCCCAACAACCUAUCCCUGCUUGACAACUUGAACCUGGCCUGAACCUGUUUGGCCGCCUGAUAUUUUAAAGAGCACGCAGCCAAAGUGUGUUCGAACAUCUUGCAAUUACCGCAAAAAUUUAGGCUCAUACUAAUAAAUUACUGUUGAACUCUCAAUUUUUCGGUAGGCAAAUUCAUCUCAACGAUACACAUCAAAUCUUUAGAAGCAUCCACUUCCACAAGAAUCUGAGCAUAUGACAAUCUCCCCUUGUUAUAUGUAAGCUUAUCCUUGGAUAUAGGUUUACCAAUCUUAGAAGCAAUCUUCGACAAAAC
RNAcentral lists this long non-coding RNA (945 nucleotides) under Olea europaea subsp. europaea. The record is from RNAcentral. Lineage: Eukaryota; Viridiplantae; Streptophyta; Magnoliopsida; Lamiales; Oleaceae.